GUGCUCCUACGGGGCGCAGCAGAGGGGGAUAUUGCACAAUGGGGGAAACCCUGAUGAAGCGACGCCGCGUGGGUGAAGAAGCGCCUCGGCGCGUAAAGCCCUGUCAGCAGGGAAGAAAAUGACGGUACCUGAAGAAGAAGCCCCGGCUAACUACGUGCCAGCAGCCGCGGUAAUACGUAGGGGGCAAGCGUUAUCCGGAUUUACUGGGUGUAAAGGGGGCGCAGACGGCGAUGCAAGCCAGGCGUGAAAGCCCGG
RNAcentral lists this ribosomal RNA (255 nucleotides) under uncultured bacterium. Its description in RNAcentral is "partial 16S ribosomal RNA". It matches the Rfam family "Bacterial small subunit ribosomal RNA", at positions 333 to 605 of the family's 1533-position model. The record is from RNAcentral.